This 301-nucleotide ribosomal RNA is filed under the name uncultured bacterium. Its description in RNAcentral is "partial 16S ribosomal RNA". It matches the Rfam family "Bacterial small subunit ribosomal RNA", at positions 509 to 807 of the family's 1533-position model. The record is from RNAcentral.
CAGCAGCCGCGGUAAUACGAAGGGUGCAAGCGUUAAUCGGAAUUACUGGGCGUAAAGCGCGCGUAGGUGGUUUGGUAAGAUGGAUGUGAAAUCCCCGGGCUCAACCUGGGAACUGCAUCCAUAACUGCCUGACUAGAGUACGGUAGAGGGUGGUGGAAUUUCCUGUGUAGCGGUGAAAUGCGUAGAUAUAGGAAGGAACACCAGUGGCGAAGGCGACCACCUGGACUGAUACUGACACUGAGGUGCGAAAGCGUGGGGAGCAAACAGGAUUAGAUACCCCUGUAGUCCCUGUCUCUUAUAC